RNAcentral lists this ribosomal RNA (305 nucleotides) under Ehrlichia canis. Its description in RNAcentral is "bacterial SSU rRNA". It matches the Rfam family "Bacterial small subunit ribosomal RNA", at positions 78 to 399 of the family's 1533-position model. The record is from RNAcentral. Lineage: Bacteria; Pseudomonadati; Pseudomonadota; Alphaproteobacteria; Rickettsiales; Anaplasmataceae.
GGCUAUAGGAAAUUGUUAGUGGCAGACGGGUGAGUAAUGCGUAGGAAUCUACCUAGUAGUACGGAAUAGCCAUUAGAAAUGGUGGGUAAUACUGUAUAAUCCCCGAGGGGGAAAGAUUUAUCGCUAUUAGAUGAGCCUACGUUAGAUUAGCUAGUUGGUGAGGUAAUGGCUUACCAAGGCUAUGAUCUAUAGCUGGUCUGAGAGGACGAUCAGCCACACUGGAACUGAGAUACGGUCCAGACUCCUACGGGAGGCAGCAGUGGGGAAUAUUGGACAAUGGGCGAAAGCCUGAUCCAGCUAUGCCG